RNAcentral lists this unclassified non-coding RNA (2252 nucleotides) under Mizuhopecten yessoensis (Yesso scallop). Its description in RNAcentral is "cytochrome P450 3A5-like, transcript variant X1". The record is from RNAcentral. Lineage: Eukaryota; Metazoa; Mollusca; Bivalvia; Pectinida; Pectinidae.
UAAAUCGAAGCACAUGUACAGUUGUAGACGACGGGUAUUGGCAGUACGGCGGGUAUUUACAGUACGGCGGGUAUUGCCGAUAUUUGACAAAGGGAGAAGAACGUCAAGACAGAGAAAUCAUGUUAGUGUUGGGGCUAGUGGAUAUUCCCAUAUGGGCCCAGCUCCUCAUUCUACUGGUUGGCAUGGUGAUAGCAUACGUUGUGUACAUGUCUUGGGAUUACAAUAUGUUUAAGAAGAUGGGCGUGGAUGGUCCAAAGCCUUCCCUUGUCGUUGGAAAUAUGGGGAUGUUCAUGUCAGAGGGCAUUGUCAAAGCUGAGCAGAACUUGUACACAAAAUAUGGGAAAAUAUUUGGGACGUUUGAAGGAAGGCUCCCCAACCUGUUUAUUGCUGACCCGAAGUUACUGAAAGAAAUUCUCGUGAAGGAUUUCAACAGUUUUGUCAAUAGGAGGGACUUCGAUCAGAUGGAUGGCCCACUUCGCGAUUCUCUGUUAUCAAUACAAGAUGACCAUUGGCGGUUUGUCAGAAACAUGAUCACACCAACCUUCAGUGGAAAAAAGUUGAAAGAGAUGGGACCACUAUUAAGACAAGCAGGAGACUUAUUGAUUGAAAUGUUAGAAGCAAAGGCAGCCAAAAAUGAGGACACAAGCUUGAAAGAAACGUUUGGUGCGUACACUAUUGAUUGCAUUGCCAGAACAGCGUUUGGUUUGGAGAUUAAUACUCAGAGAGACCCAGAUGACCCAUUCAUAAAACAUUCGAAGGCAUUCACAGAAUCAACAAUCAUGGUAGUGCAAAUUAUGAUUAUCUUAUUUUUCCCGUUCCUGGCAUGGCUGCCUCGCCUUUUCCAAUCCAUGGGAAUCAAUCUGAACAAAAAUGCUACAAAUUUCUUCGUCUCCGUAACUGAAACGGCUUUGAAAGAAAGACGGCAGAAUCCAGGGAACCAUGCAGAUUUCUUAGAACUCAUGGCACACUCUCAAGCAGCAAAUGAAGAGUCUUCUAAGACGGAAGGGGUUACUGCAAGCCCAGGGUCAUCCAGGAAAACGCUGACAGACGCGGAGAUCAGGUCUCAGGCACUUCUGUUUUUCCUUGCGGGGUAUGAUACAACAUCUAACAGCCUGAUGUUUACUUUCUACCACCUGGCAAUCCACACAGACGUCUGUGAUAGGGUGAUGCAGGAAGUCGAUGAUAACUUGGGAAAGGAAAAACCCGAUUAUGAUAACAUCAAAAAACUUACUUAUAUGGAAAUGGUGAUCGAGGAAACUAUGAGAAUCUUUCCUGCAGCAUCCAGAAUUGACCGAAUAGCCAGUCGAGAUGUCACCAUUGGAAAUGUCAAAAUCCCUAAAGGCAUGAUCGUGAACAUCCCAGUAGGCGCCAUACAGAUGGACCCCGAAUACUGGACUGACCCAGACAAGUUUGACCCUGAAAGGUUUACUCCUGAGGCCAAGGCUAAUAGGGACCCCUACACUUAUCUCCCAUUCGGAGCAGGCCCCCGAAACUGUAUCGGUGUUCGACUUGCUAUGAUGGAACAAAAGAUGUGCAUGGCUCAGGUCCUACAACACUUUAGACCAGUCCGGAGUGAGAGGACAGAUUGCCCACCAAAGAUAAGUAAGCUUGGAAACACGGUGACUGAUGAAGGUCUGUGGAUCAAGUUUGAGAAGAGGAGCUAAGCUAAUACUGUCUGAACUCUGAUAUAGCCCCCAGUGCUUGUAUGUAAAUGAGAAGCAAACAACGACGACAAAAGAUGUUGUAUACUUUUACUUUGUUGUAUUAAUGUUUUUUACUUGUUUGUCAUCAGAAAAUUUGCAUUGCAAAACAUAUGAGCACACUGGGAACUCCGGAUUUCCUCCUCUACCAAAACCUAGCACGUCUUUAAAUGACCAUAGCUGUUAAUAGAACGUAAAACACUAACAAACCAAACCAUCUCGCACAUAUAUAUGUAAUCUACAAAUCGGUUGUUCGCUCAGGAAGGAACUUGAUGUCUUUAAGCAGUAAAACGAUUUCUACAUACGUUGUAUUAAUUUAAGACGGUAAAGACGCACAACGUUUGAAUUUUACGCUUUUAUACUCGUGUUAUCUGUCAUGUUCGCCCAAUUGCAGGUGUUGUAUUUUUAUUUCUCUUAACUAUUAACUUGCUACGACGAGAAACUAAUGUGAAGACCAAGGGAAACAUUUUGGAAAUUAGAUAAAUAUAUAACUGCUUUACAUGGCUUCACAGCCUUAACAAUGCAAACAACACUAAAACACUCAACUGACAU